RNAcentral lists this ribosomal RNA (469 nucleotides) under uncultured bacterium. RNAcentral describes it as "partial 16S ribosomal RNA". It matches the Rfam family "Bacterial small subunit ribosomal RNA", at positions 28 to 507 of the family's 1533-position model. The record is from RNAcentral.
GACGAACGCUGGCGGCGUGCUUAACACAUGCAAGUCGAACGGUGAAGCGAGUGCUUGCACUCGUGGAUCAGUGGCGAACGGGUGAGUAACACGUGAGUAACCUGCCCAUCACUCUGGGAUAAGCACUGGGAACGGUGUCUAAUACUGGAUACGACCACCCCUUGCAUGGGGUGUUGGUGGAAAGCUUUAUCGGUGAUGGAUGGACUCGCGGCCUAUCAGCUUGUUGGCGGGGUAAUGGCCCACCAAGGCGACGACGGGUAGCCGGCCUGAGAGGGUGACCGGCCACACUGGGACUGAGAUACGGCCCAGACUCCUACGGGAGGCAGCAGUGGGGAAUAUUGCACAAUGGGCGAAAGCCUGAUGCAGCGACGCCGCGUGAGGGAUGACGGCCUUCGGGUUGUAAACCGCGUUCAGCAGGGAAGAAGCGAAAGUGACGGUACCUGCAGAAGAAGCACCGGCUAACUACGUG